GCCUCGAUAGCUCAGCCCGGUCAGAGCACCUGCCUCGUAAGCAGGGGGUCGCGGGUUCGAAGCCCGCUCGAGGCU
This 75-nucleotide transfer RNA is filed under the name Thermoprotei archaeon. Its description in RNAcentral is "tRNA-Thr". It matches the Rfam family "tRNA". Rfam says of the family: Transfer RNA (tRNA) molecules are approximately 80 nucleotides in length. Their secondary structure includes four short double-helical elements and three loops (D, anti-codon, and T loops). RNAcentral also lists the same sequence under 3 other names. The record is from RNAcentral. Lineage: Archaea; Thermoproteati; Thermoproteota; Thermoprotei.